RNAcentral lists this ribosomal RNA (468 nucleotides) under uncultured bacterium. RNAcentral describes it as "partial 16S ribosomal RNA". It matches the Rfam family "Bacterial small subunit ribosomal RNA", at positions 28 to 507 of the family's 1533-position model. The record is from RNAcentral.
GACGAACGCUGGCGGCGUGCUUAACACAUGCAAGUCGAACGGAAAGGCCCUGCUUUUGUGGGGUGCUCGAGUGGCGAACGGGUGAGUAACACGUGAGUAACCUGCCCUUGACUUUGGGAUAACUUCAGGAAACUGGGGCUAAUACCGGAUAGGAGCUCCUGCUGCAUGGUGGGGGUUGGAAAGUUUCGGCGGUUGGGGAUGGACUCGCGGCUUAUCAGCUUGUUGGUGGGGUAGUGGCUUACCAAGGCUUUGACGGGUAGCCGGCCUGAGAGGGUGACCGGCAACAUUGGGACUGAGAUACGGCCCAGACUCCUACGGGAGGCAGCAGUGGGGAAUAUUGCACAAUGGGCGGAAGCCUGAUGCAGCAACGCCGCGUGCGGGAUGACGGCCUUCGGGUUGUAAACCGAUUUCGCAUGUGACGAAGCGUGAGUGACGGUAAUGGGUAAAGAAGCACCGGCUAACUACGUG